UGAGUCUUCUUUUAAAAAAAAAAUAUUACAGCGGCGCAGCGAUUACCUACCUACAAUAAAAUAAAUUGAUAUAAAGGGAAACAUUUUAAUAUAAGCUAUUAUUUUGUGUAACGAUAAAAUACACCGAAAUAAUCAAUAAACAAAAAAAUGGUGGGCAAUGAAUCCCCUCCCCGUGACACUGGUGUCCUAUAUUUAGAGGAAGUUAAAGUUUGAUUGUCACCUACUUCAAAGUGACCAAACCAUAAGUGUUAUGAGCCAACUUGAAAGGGUCCAGUGAAAGUUAUCUAGUUUUGCUGCCUAUUUAUUAAAAAUUGAACACGAAACUCAUGAUUAUGGACCAGUUUCAAGUACGGUAUGUUUGCAGUCCUUAGCUGAUAGGCGAGUUAACUAAAAUAAGGUCUUUCUUUGCAAAAUUAUUGGGUCAAUUGAUUAUCCUUAGUUUCUCUCCUUGGUUAACUUAAGAUAGCUUGUGUCCAGAUCUGCUUUGUAUAUUUUAUCUAUGCCUUUGUGUUUCGACAUACUUUUUCAAUAACUGCCCACUUUAUGGGAUGAUGUGUAUUGCUAACAAAGAUCCGUUUUUUAAUUGUAAGUUGUCCUUGUAUAUUAUUUCUCUAUUUAUUAUCUAUGUUUAUCAUGUAUUUCAUAUAUCUGUCUUUCUAAUUUAAUUGCAUUUUUGUAUCUCAUUAUGAUAAUUAAUAACAUACUUUGGGCCGUGACCCGUAUUGAAAAUAAAUAAUAGUCUAUGAAUAAGUCACAGUGGAUUGGUAGAACCAAGAAUAUUGUUUUGUGGAAUUUUCGUGAGACUCAAUUCAAUAAUCAAUAAUGUGAGUUUUACUAGUCAAUAAUUAUCUGCAUGAUAACUUAUUAUUUUUACAUUGUGUGGAAUUCUUUAUACAGAAUUGUAUUAUUGAUACUAUUAAAUU
Non-coding RNA from Cinara cedri, 923 nucleotides. Lineage: Eukaryota; Metazoa; Arthropoda; Insecta; Hemiptera; Aphididae. The record is from the annotation of a GenBank genome assembly.